RNAcentral lists this ribosomal RNA (465 nucleotides) under uncultured bacterium. RNAcentral describes it as "partial 16S ribosomal RNA". It matches the Rfam family "Bacterial small subunit ribosomal RNA", at positions 338 to 795 of the family's 1533-position model. The record is from RNAcentral.
CCUACGGGAGGCAGCAGUGGGGAAUAUUGCGCAAUGGUCGAAAGCCUGACGCAGCGACGCCGCGUGAGGGAUGAAGGUCUUCGGAUCGUAAACCUCUGUCAGCAGGGAAGAACGGUCACUGUGCUAAUCAGCAGUGAAUUGACGGUACCUGCAAAGGAAGCACCGGCUAACUCCGUGCCAGCAGCCGCGGUAAUACGGAGGGUGCGAGCGUUAAUCGGAAUUACUGGGCGUAAAGCGCUCGUAGGCGGUAUGUCAAGUCAAGGGUGAAAUCCCCGCGCUCAACGUGGGAACUGCCUUUGAAACUGGCAAACUGGAGUGUGUGAGAGGAUAGUGGAAUUCCAGGUGUAGGAGUGAAAUGCGUAGAUAUCUGGAGGAACAUCAGUGGCGAAGGCGACUAUCUGGCACAUAACUGACGCUGAGGAGCGAAAGCGUGGGUAGCAAACAGGAUUAGAUACCCGGGUAGUC